UACGUAGGGGGCAAGCGUUGUCCGGAUUUAUUGGGCGUAAAGAGCGUGUAGGCGGUUUGGUAGGUCCGUUGUGAAAACUCGAGGCUCAACCUCGAGACGCCGAUGGAAACCGUCAGACUAGAGUCCGGAAGAGGAGAGUGGAAUUCCUGGUGUAGCGGUGAAAUGCGCAGAUAUCAGGAAGAACACCCGUGGCUAAGGCGGCUCUCUAGUACGGUACUGACGCUGAGACGCGAAAGCGUGGGGAGCGAACAGG
RNAcentral lists this ribosomal RNA (253 nucleotides) under uncultured bacterium. RNAcentral describes it as "partial 16S ribosomal RNA". It matches the Rfam family "Bacterial small subunit ribosomal RNA", at positions 524 to 776 of the family's 1533-position model. The record is from RNAcentral.